RNAcentral lists this ribosomal RNA (466 nucleotides) under Vreelandella stevensii. RNAcentral describes it as "partial 16S ribosomal RNA". It matches the Rfam family "Bacterial small subunit ribosomal RNA", at positions 338 to 795 of the family's 1533-position model. The record is from RNAcentral. Lineage: Bacteria; Pseudomonadati; Pseudomonadota; Gammaproteobacteria; Oceanospirillales; Halomonadaceae.
CCUACGGGGGGGCAGCAGUGGGGAAUAUUGGACAAUGGGGGCAACCCUGAUCCAGCCAUGCCGCGUGUGUGAAGAAGGCCCUCGGGUUGUAAAGCACUUUCAGUGAGGAAGAACGCCUGGUGGUUAAUACCCAUCAGGAAAGACAUCACUCACAGAAGAAGCACCGGCUAACUCCGUGCCAGCAGCCGCGGUAAUACGGAGGGUGCGAGCGUUAAUCGGAAUUACUGGGCGUAAAGCGCGCGUAGGUGGCUUGAUAAGCCGGUUGUGAAAGCCCCGGGCUCAACCUGGGAACGGCAUCCGGAACUGUCAAGCUAGAGUGCAGGAGAGGAAGGUAGAAUUCCCGGUGUAGCGGUGAAAUGCGUAGAGAUCGGGAGGAAUACCAGUGGCGAAGGCGGCCUUCUGGACUGACACUGACACUGAGGUGCGAAAGCGUGGGUAGCAAACAGGAUUAGAUACCCGGGUAGUC